Molecule: ribosomal RNA, 331 nt
Filed under: uncultured bacterium
Lineage: Bacteria
Description: bacterial SSU rRNA
Rfam family: Bacterial small subunit ribosomal RNA
Source: RNAcentral
CGCGUAGGCGGUCUGUUGCGUUGGGUGUGAAAGCCCCGGGCUCAACCUGGGAUGUGCGCCCGAUACGGACAGGCUCGAGACCGGGAGAGGAGAGUGGAAUUCCCAGUGUAGAGGUGAAAUUCGUAGAUAUUGGGAAGAACACCGGUGGCGAAGGCGGCUCUCUGGCCCGGUUCUGACGCUGAGGCGCGAAAGCGUGGGGAGCAAACAGGAUUAGAUACCCUGGUAGUCCACGCUGUAAACGAUGCGUGCUAGACGUUGGGGGGCGUAGCCCCUCGGUGUCGCAGCCAACGCGUUAAGCACGCCGCCUGGGGAGUACGGCCGUAAGGUUAAA